Salarias fasciatus (jewelled blenny) is the source of this 133-nucleotide small nucleolar RNA. Its record names the gene U8. It matches the Rfam family "U8 small nucleolar RNA". From Rfam's summary of the family: U8 is a member of the C/D class of snoRNA which contain the C (UGAUGA) and D (CUGA) box motifs. Lineage: Eukaryota; Metazoa; Chordata; Actinopteri; Blenniiformes; Blenniidae. The record is from Ensembl.
UCGUCAGUGAGGUAUAUCCUUACCUGUUACUCCCUCCGGGGAGUAUCAGAACAUGAUGAAUGGAGCUUUAUGAGAUAUGAUUAAUAUCUCUGGCUUGAGGGGAACAGCAACACCCCUCAUGACCCAUUCUGAU